This 397-nucleotide ribosomal RNA is filed under the name uncultured bacterium. RNAcentral describes it as "partial 16S ribosomal RNA". It matches the Rfam family "Bacterial small subunit ribosomal RNA", at positions 523 to 918 of the family's 1533-position model. The record is from RNAcentral.
AUACGUAGGGGGCGAGCGUUGUCCGGAAUGAUUGGGCGUAAAGGGCGCGUAGGCGGCUUUGCAAGUCAGUAGUGGAAGUCCAUUUUUCAAGGAUGGAAGUGCUACAGAAACUGCGGAGCUUGAGUGCAGGAGAGGUUAUCGGAAUUCCCGGUGUAGCGGUGAAAUGCGUAGAGAUCGGGAGGAACACCAGUGGCGAAGGCGGGUAACUGGACUGCAACUGACGCUGAGGCGCGAAAGUGUGGGGAGCAAACAGGAUGAGAUACCCUGGUAGUCCACGCCGUAAACGAUGGGUACUAGGUGUAGGAGGUAUCGACCCCUUCUGUGCCGUCGUUAACACAAUAAGUACCCCGCCUGGGGAGUACGGUCGCAAGACUAAAACUCAAAUGAAUUGACGGGG